UUUGAUUUAUGAAGAAUAAAUAUGAUCCAUGUGUUAUAUUUGGCAAUGUGUCAGAACAUUUAUAUCAAACAUUAAAGAUAAUGGUAAUUAACAAUCCAAUAUAGCAGCAAUAUUUAAAUGUUGCCAACAUACACAUAAUUAAUUAAUGUGAUGUUUUCAUAAACAUAUAAUGAAAUAUUACAAAACAAAGGUACAAAUUAUACAUCUAAAGGAAGCAUUCAUAAUUAAAAAGCACUGAUAAUUAGCUAGCACGGGAUUACCUGCCUCACCCACAGGGCCACUACAACUUUCAUCCCAAACGUCCCCCUGUCACCAAAAGUAUCAUCAUCGUUGCGUAAUGCGGCGUUUAUAUCUAAAAAAGUUUUAGAGUUAGAAAUUCCUGAAAUCAUAGCCAUAUCAUAUGAUUAUUAAGCACACAGUUACCUCCUUCACACAAAGGGCUGAUACAACUCUGAUCACAUAAAUCUUCCAUCUCACCACAUGGAGCCUCAUCAUUGAUUAAACCAACAUCUCCAUCUUUAAAAGAUCAUAAAAAUAAAGCACCUUCUGAAACAUUCAUGUUUUCCAAAAUAAUAAAAGUGUGUAAGCGCACCUGAUUCAUUUGUCCCCACAUGAGGUCUGUAUUUAUUUUCUCCCAAAUCUCC
Molecule: long non-coding RNA, 644 nt
Filed under: Setaria viridis
Lineage: Eukaryota; Viridiplantae; Streptophyta; Magnoliopsida; Poales; Poaceae
Description: long non-coding RNA (SVIR_LNC007751)
Source: RNAcentral